This 117-nucleotide non-coding RNA is filed under the name Chlorocebus sabaeus (green monkey). Lineage: Eukaryota; Metazoa; Chordata; Mammalia; Primates; Cercopithecidae. The record is from Rfam by way of RNAcentral.
GCCAGGUGUGGUGGCUCACACCUGUAAUCCCAGCACUUUGGGAGGCCGAGGCGGGUGGAUCACUUGAGGCCAGGAGUUCAAGACUGACCUGGCCAAUAUGGUGAUACCCUGUCUCUA